AAGAGUUACCAACACGGGUAGAGUCGUGUCGUAAAUUACACGCGGAGAAAGCAUCGAAAAUUUGUUUAUUCGCAUUGUUUCUGUUAGAAGUGUGCGAGAUCGAGUCGUAUUCGUUCUAAUAUGCGUUGCUCCUCGAUAAGAGAAAGAUGAAGACGAUAGAGGGAAAAGUUGUGGCUUUAGGUUCCCAAGGCGUUGGAAAGACAAGUAUGAUCAUACGUUAUGUCAAAAAAGCGUUCAACGAACAUGCAAGUCCCACGAUUGGCGCGUCUUUCUUCUCGUGCAAGCUCAACUUGUUGAACGCAAGAGUAAUGCUACAGGUCUGGGACACUGCGGGACAGGAACGAUAUAGAUCGAUGGCGCCUAUGUACUACCGCAACGCUAAUGCAGCUAUGUUGGUGUUUGAUUUGACACAGUACAACACAUUCGCAGCGAUGAAAAAAUGGGUGGCAGAGCUUCGCAGAAACGUCGAAGAGACGAUGGUGUUAGCGGUGAUCGGUAAUAAAUCGGAUCUGUUUAACGAGCGGCAGGUCAACAGCGAGGAGGGCAGAGUUUACGCAAUGGAAAUUGGCGCAAGUUACCACGAGACGUCGGUUCUCGAGGACGAAGGGAUCGAAAGUGUGUUCACACACAUUGGCAUGGGUUUGCUUGGAUUAUCUUUGACCGAUCACGACGCUACGUCGAUUAAAGUGUACGAAUCAACGAACUCGGACUGGAACGACAUCAGUACUUACGUACCACACCUCGAGGAAAGUCCCCAGAACCUCAGUAUUGCUCAUGGAAUACAUGAGAAUACGUACACAUGUUGCUAGUCCUUUUCUCUUGUUCACGGCUCAGUUAUAGGCACUAAAGCCACCGAUUUCUACAGAAUGGAUGCUAGACGAGGCUUUUAAUACGUUCAUUGUCCACGUAAUUUUUCAGUAAGACGAUAAAGAUAUUAAUUCUGAAAAGAAACUAAAUUCGGAUAUAAUUUAGAAAUUUCGAUGAAGUUACUGAAAUAAGCACCAUCAUAAAUGUUCGAUUAAGCUCUCGAUUAUUCAGAAAUAAAAUAUUGAUCUCGUAGAACAUUUAUUGGAUUUGGCCGGGCAUUCACGUGUUAAAUCUAAGGAUGUUGUGUCGUAUUCGAGGAAUAAACCAUCAGCGCCAUCUGAACAGCGCUGAAGCUCAACGAAACCUGAUCGUAGCCGAUAAGGAAAAAGUGUCGAUAAAACAGAAGGAAGCGAGGCACAGACGAUUGUUAUAUGAGGAUAUCGGUUGGUUCAAAAAUGGCCGACGCGGACAUUCUGUCGCGAGUCGAGGUGUCAGGUUUGACGGAAUGCGAGGAACAAUGCACGAAAAACGAACAUAAUUGCAAAGCAUUUACAUUUGGCGUGGGCGUGAAAGGAAAUGGAAGCUGCGAGAUCAGUACACGAGUACCGAUGCUCGAGAAUUUAGAGACCCAUCCUGAUUACGAUGUCUACUUGAAAAAGCGACAAGGCUCGCCAUGGUGUGACGCCGACCGUCCUUAUGCUAGAGGUUUCGUGCAAGAGAACGAAAGUCGUU
Molecule: RNA transcript, 1539 nt
Organism: Colletes gigas
Lineage: Eukaryota; Metazoa; Arthropoda; Insecta; Hymenoptera; Colletidae
Gene: RabX1
Gene name: ras-related protein RHN1
Exons: 5
Source: RefSeq, a predicted model, not a curated record